RNAcentral lists this ribosomal RNA (424 nucleotides) under uncultured prokaryote. Its description in RNAcentral is "bacterial SSU rRNA". It matches the Rfam family "Bacterial small subunit ribosomal RNA", at positions 355 to 796 of the family's 1533-position model. The record is from RNAcentral.
UGGGGAAUAUUGGACAAUGGGGGCAACCCUGAUCCAGCCAUGCCGCGUGCGUGAAGAAGGCCUUAGGGUUGUAAAGCGCUUUCAGCGGGGACGAUAAUGACAGUACCUAGUAAAGAAGCCCCGGCUAACUUCGUGCCAGCAGCCGCGGUAAUACGAAGGGGGCUAGCGUUGUUCGGAAUUACUGGGCGUAAAGCGCACGUAGGCGGACUUUUAAGUCAGAUGUGAAAUCCCGAGGCUCAACCUCGGAACUGCAUUUGAAACUGGGAGUCUAGAGAUCAGGAGAGGUUAGCGGAAUACCGAGUGUAGAGGUGAAAUUCGUAGAUAUUCGGUGGAACACCAGUGGCGAAGGCGGCUAACUGGACUGAUACUGACGCUGAGGUGCGAAAGUGUGGGGAGCAAACAGGAUUAGAUACCCGCGUAGUCC